RNAcentral lists this unclassified non-coding RNA (2385 nucleotides) under Stylophora pistillata. RNAcentral describes it as "tNF receptor-associated factor 6-like, transcript variant X3". Lineage: Eukaryota; Metazoa; Cnidaria; Anthozoa; Scleractinia; Pocilloporidae. The record is from RNAcentral.
CCGAAGUAUAGAAGGUUUUGAGAUUCCGUUGGUAAUAAACUCGAGGUUAAGUUUCCCCCUCCUCCUUGAGGUCACGGACUGUGGAAUUAAGUUUCGUUUAGGGAUAACAAGGCAGCGAUUCACGUGGAAAUCUAUUCACUUCCGGCUUCGUCCUAAAACCGAAAGCACAAUGGCGGCUGGCCAGAAUAUACCUGAUCUUGGCGGCUAUGAUUUGAAGUUUAAAAGUAAAGUUCCCGACGAUUUUCAUUGUCCUGUGUGUCAGCUGCCAAUGAAAGACCCUAGACAGAUUGAAAGAUGCGGCCACAGACUUUGUACCAUCUGCUUAGAGGGCCUGUUUAGGCAACCUUCUGCGAGAUGCCCAGUCGACAGAGAGCCACUGUUACGUGAAAAGAUAUUUUCAGAUAACGCAUGUCAGCGCCGAAUUCUGGAUCUUCACGUUGAGUGUUCAUUUGAUGGGUGUUCAUGGACAGGAGAACUGCGUGCUAUGGAGAGACAUCAGUCAGAAUGCCUUUUCAAAGUGGUGGAGUGUUCGAAUGCAGGAUGCAAAGAGAGGUUAACUAGAACUGACAUAAACAAUCAUAAGGAAUUUGAUUGUCCCUGGAGAGAAAUAAACUGUGAUUAUUGUCGAGUAAUUGUCAUCAUGAAAAACAAGCAGCAACAUUUUGGUGUCUGUCCAAAGUUCCCUAUUCCAUGUACGAACAACUGCGAUUUGAGACACAUUCCACGAGAAAAGCUAGAGGUUCACAUUCGAGAUGACUGUCCUUCAACCAAGGUUCCUUGUGAAUACAAGAACUUAGGAUGUGGAGAAGUGUUUCCGAGGAAGAGCACUAAAUCCCACCUGGAGUUACACGCCGAACACCAUUUAGACCUUGCUCUUCGAGGCCUAGAGGCGACUCGGUACCAAGUAGAAGACCUCCUCGGUGUUGUCAAGGAUCAGUCGCAACAGAUCGAGGGAUUAAAGUCAAAAGAUAAAAAUCAAUCACAACUGAUAGAACGACUAAACCUCACAGUUCAGUGUCAAGCACAGCAGAUUGAGCAAUUGACCACCAAUGCUAAAGAUCAGGUAGAAAGAAUUGUAGAAGCUAAGGCUAUGAUUAAUUUUCUAUCACAACAGAUAGAGGAGCUCAUGCUUGACAAAGGCAAGGGUGAAAACCAGCCGCAGAAUGCAGAAGUAGGCAGAGAGCUUCAGCCGAAGAAGCAGUCGUUCGAGUCGCCGAGUCGUUUCCCUGUUUAUCAAAGAAAAGAAGAAACAGACAACUGUACACAAAAUCCGCAGACGGAUGUCUGGACUCCAAAACAUCUCCUAAAUCCACAAUUUGGAAGUGGUUUAUCAAGUUGUGCUACACAUCAUCCACGUUUAUUAGUCAGGCCAUUUGCACCUGAUAACAUCCGUGACAUUAAGCUAGGAAUGGAGCUUUUGGUUACUAGAUCACGUGGACAGAGCGGACGUGGAACGGUGAGGUACAUAGGAAAAAUACUUGGUCGUAAAGACGAUUAUAUUGGAGUUGAGUUGGGACCAGGUCAAGAGGGAAAGCAUGAUGGAACCCUUGAUGGGCAGAGAUAUUUUUCUUGUUUCAAAGAAGAGGGACUAAAUCUCACUUGGAAUCACACAUGGACAGCCACUUAAACUUAGCUGUUCGCAGCCUUGCGAUCACUCAGAAUCAGGUUAAAGAUCAGUCUCAGCAGUUGAAUAGCCAGUCAAAACAAAUAGACCGUUUGAUGGCCAAAGAUGUGAGUCAGACACUAAAAAUUGGGCGAUUGAUGUCCUCUCUAAAAGAUCAGUCGCAGCAGUUGGAUGAUCAGUCCAAGCAGAUAGCCAGUUUAAAGUCCACUGUGCAGGGUCUGGUGCAGCAGAUAGAAAGACUGAAGGGUCAAGAUCGACAUCGAGCUAUGCAGGUGAACAAGACGGCCAGGGAAGCCAUGGGCGGGCUAACCAAGAAAGGGGCAACUAAUGUCAACCCUAAAGAGGAUGAAACUAUGAAACAGGGCUUUGGGCCCAAAUCAAUCAGUGACAUUGAAGUAGGUAUGAAGGUUUUGUUUCAGCAUCCUCCGUUUCCCGGGAGAUUUUGAGGAACAGUCAAGUACAUCGGACCUGUUUUUGGGUGGAAAGACGGUCUCGGCUUAGAGUUGGAUCCAAAUAUAGAAUUACCGGCGUCAACGUGCACUAGAAUCAACGGAAUAUUCCGCGGAAAAAAGUGCUUUACCUGACUUAGAGAGGGCUAAAGAGCUAAAGAACUUGCUCCUGGCAAGGAACCAUUCUUCAAAAUGUCCGGUAGACAGACAGCUUUUUUUGCCUGACAAGGUGAUACUAUCAAACAGGGCUUCAAGCCUAUAUCAAUCAAUGAUAUUGAAGCAGGUAGGAAGGUAUUAAUUGUGGAUUUGUAU